AGAUUGAACGCUGGCGGCAUGCUUUACACAUGCAAGUCGAACGGUAACAGGCCGCAAGGUGCUGACGAGUGGCGAACGGGUGAGUAAUGUAUCGGAACGUGCCCAGUCGUGGGGGAUAACGCAGCGAAAGCUGCGCUAAUACCGCAUACGAUCUAUGGAUGAAAGCGGGGGACCGUAAGGCCUCGCGCGAUUGGAGCGGCCGAUAUCAGAUUAGGUAGUUGGUGGGGUAAAGGCUCGACCAAGCCAACGAUCUGUAGCUGGUCUGAGAGGACGACCAGCCACACUGGGACUGAGACACGGCCCAGACUCCUACGGGAGGCAGCAGUGGGGAAUUUUGGACAAUGGGCGCAAGCCUGAUCCAGCAAUGCCGCGUGCAGGAAGAAGGCCUUGGUUGUAACUGCUUUGUACGAACGAACGGUCCGUGUUAAUACUGGGCUAAGUGACGUACGUAAGAAUAAGCACCGGACUAACUACGUCGACAG
This 482-nucleotide ribosomal RNA is filed under the name uncultured soil bacterium. RNAcentral describes it as "bacterial SSU rRNA". It matches the Rfam family "Bacterial small subunit ribosomal RNA", at positions 26 to 511 of the family's 1533-position model. The record is from RNAcentral.